This 468-nucleotide ribosomal RNA is filed under the name uncultured bacterium. Its description in RNAcentral is "partial 16S ribosomal RNA". It matches the Rfam family "Bacterial small subunit ribosomal RNA", at positions 28 to 507 of the family's 1533-position model. The record is from RNAcentral.
GACGAACGCUGGCGGCGUGCUUAACACAUGCAAGUCGAACGGAAAGGCCCUGCUUUUGUGGGGUGCUCGAGUGGCGAACGGGUGAGUAACACGUGAGUAACCUGCCCUUGACUUUGGGAUAACUUCAGGAAACUGGGGCUAAUACCGGAUAGGAGCUCCUGCUGCAUGGUGGGGGUUGGAAAGUUUCGGCGGUUGGGGAUGGACUCGCGGCUUAUCAGCUUGUUGGUGGGGUAGUGGCUUACCAAGGCUUUGACGGGUAGCCGGCCUGAGAGGGUGACCGGCCAAAUUGGGACUGAGAUACGGCCCAGACUCGUACGGGAGGCAGCAGUGGGGAAUAUUGCACAAUGGGCGGAAGCCUGAUGCAGCAACGCCGCGUGCGGGAUGACGGCCUUCGGGUUGUAAACCGCUUUCGCCUGUGACGAAGCGUGAGUGACGGUAAUGGGUAAAGAAGCACCGGCUAACUACGUG